UUGUGAUGAAAUUCAAAGUGAAAUAGCUGGAAUUACCGUCAGAUGCUCAGUGGUGAUAUUCACUUUUCUGAAC
Syngnathus acus (greater pipefish) is the source of this 73-nucleotide small nucleolar RNA. The record is from RefSeq and is a predicted model, not a curated record. NCBI's taxonomy places the organism in Eukaryota, Metazoa, Chordata, Actinopteri, Syngnathiformes, Syngnathidae.